GGUGCUAUCGUCUAGUGGCCGAGGAUACUACCCUGUCACGGUAGAGACCGGAGUUCGAUUCUCCGUAGCACCG
This 73-nucleotide transfer RNA is filed under the name Erwinia phage vB_EamM_Huxley. It matches the Rfam family "tRNA". Rfam says of the family: Transfer RNA (tRNA) molecules are approximately 80 nucleotides in length. Their secondary structure includes four short double-helical elements and three loops (D, anti-codon, and T loops). RNAcentral also lists the same sequence under 1 other name. The record is from Rfam by way of RNAcentral. Lineage: Duplodnaviria; Heunggongvirae; Uroviricota; Caudoviricetes; Chimalliviridae.